CAUUGCCCGUUACACUAUGGGAGUUGGCCAUGCCCGAAGUACAUACCUUAAACAAAAGGAGGGGGAUAUCAAAUGUAGGGCUAGUAACUGGAGUGAAAUCGUAAAAAGGUAGACGUACUUGAAGGUGCGACUG
RNAcentral lists this non-coding RNA (133 nucleotides) under Solanum lycopersicum (tomato). RNAcentral describes it as "Bacterial small subunit ribosomal RNA". It matches the Rfam family "Bacterial small subunit ribosomal RNA", at positions 1388 to 1520 of the family's 1533-position model. The record is from Rfam by way of RNAcentral. Lineage: Eukaryota; Viridiplantae; Streptophyta; Magnoliopsida; Solanales; Solanaceae.